This 18-nucleotide non-coding RNA is filed under the name Arabidopsis thaliana (thale cress). The record is from RNAcentral. Lineage: Eukaryota; Viridiplantae; Streptophyta; Magnoliopsida; Brassicales; Brassicaceae. RNAcentral also lists the same sequence under 1 other name.
GAUGGUGAACUAUGCCUG